UGACCCCUGUAUUUAGGAUAACUCAGGGUUAAACUAUCAAUCCUGAUCAGAUCAUUCGAAUUGUGCUCAACUCAAAUAGUCCUAUGACUCCUCACUAGGACUACCCUGGCCAAGAUUUUGCUAAAUUGAAACACGAUUGUACACAGCUCCUGAACUAGAGUGGUCAAUCCCAUCUUGACACACGCACCGACAGUCAAGUACUUGACUACACCUAGCAUCCUUCCGUCACUGAAUUAGAAAUUCAGGUAGUCCAGUGCCUAAGUAUAGUGAGUUGCUUGCAAGUCACCAUGACGGUCUCAGGUCGGAGGGAUAUUUAUACCCAUAUCCCAUCGGAGCAAAUCUUGAUAGCAGAAAUAACUCUGAAGUCGGUCAUGUUCAGUACAGAUGUACCCUUACAUCUCACUUAUAUGCCAUACUAGUGUCUCCACACU
This 431-nucleotide long non-coding RNA is filed under the name Elaeis guineensis (African oil palm). RNAcentral's name for it is "long non-coding RNA (EGUI_LNC077842)". The record is from RNAcentral. Lineage: Eukaryota; Viridiplantae; Streptophyta; Magnoliopsida; Arecales; Arecaceae.